CAGCAGCCGCGGGAAUACGUAUGUCACAAGCGUUAUCCGGAUCUAUUGGGCGUAAAGCGCGUCUAGGUGGUUAUGUAAGUCUGAUGUGAAAAUGCAGGGCUCAACUCUGUAUUGCGUUGGAAACUGUGUAACUAGAGUACUGGAGAGGUAAGCGGAACUACAAGUGUAGAGGUGAAAUUCGUAGAUAUUUGUAGGAAUGCCGAUGGGGAAGCCAGCUUACUGGACAGAUACUGACGCUAAAGCGCGAAAGCGUGGGUAGCAAACAGGAUUAGAUACCCCUGUAGUCCCUGUCUCUUAUACA
RNAcentral lists this ribosomal RNA (301 nucleotides) under uncultured bacterium. RNAcentral describes it as "partial 16S ribosomal RNA". It matches the Rfam family "Bacterial small subunit ribosomal RNA", at positions 509 to 808 of the family's 1533-position model. The record is from RNAcentral.